RNAcentral lists this antisense RNA (65 nucleotides) under Frankia sp. AcoPraII.1. RNAcentral describes it as "ASpks". It matches the Rfam family "ASpks TB sRNA", at positions 11 to 75 of the family's 75-position model. The record is from RNAcentral. Lineage: Bacteria; Bacillati; Actinomycetota; Actinomycetes; Frankiales; Frankiaceae.
CCCACCCACAACGGCCGGUCCGCGUCCCGACCCUGCCCGUAGGUGGCCAGCAACGCCUGCGCCUC